This 506-nucleotide ribosomal RNA is filed under the name uncultured bacterium. RNAcentral's name for it is "partial 16S ribosomal RNA". It matches the Rfam family "Bacterial small subunit ribosomal RNA", at positions 29 to 523 of the family's 1533-position model. The record is from RNAcentral.
AUUGAACGCUGGCGGCAGGCCUAACACAUGCAAGUCGGACGGUAGCACAGAGGAGCUUGCUCCUUGGGUGACGAGUGGCGGACGGGUGAGUAAUGUCUGGGGAUCUGCCCGAUAGAGGGGGAUAACCAAUGGAAACGGUGGCUAAUACCUCAUAACGUCGCAAGACCAAAGAGGGGGACCUGCGGGCCCCUCACGAGCCGAUCAACCCGGAUGGGAUUAGCUAGUAGGCGGGGUAAUGGCCCACCUAGGCGACGAUCCCUAGCUGGUCUGAGAGGAUGACCAGCCACACUGGAACUGAGACACGGUCCAGACUCCUACGGGAGGCAGCAGUGGGGAAUAUUGCACAAUGGGCGCAAGCCUGAUGCAGCCAUGCCGCGUGUAUGAAGAAGGCCUUCGGGUUGUAAAGUACUUUCAGCGGGGAGGAAGGCGGUGAGGUUAAUAACCUCGCCGAUUGACGUUACCCGCAGAAGAAGCACCGGCUAACUCCGUGCCAGCCGCCGCGGUAA